CUUUCAGCUAAUGUGAGAGCGCGGCGUACAGCUCAGUAACACGUGGCUAACCUGCCCUUGGGACGGGAAUACCCCCGGGAAACUGGGGCUAAUUCUCGAUAGGUGAAAAAUUCUGGAAUGAAUUUUCUCCUAAAGGACGUUUAUGUCAUGCUCAUAGGCGUUGCCCAGGGAUGGGGCCGCGACCGAUCAGGUAGUUGGUGAGAUAAUGGCUCACCAAGCCUUUUACCGGUACGGGCCGUGAGAGCGGGAGCCCGGAGAUGGGCACUGAGACAAGGGCCCAGGCCCUACGGGGCGCAGCAGUCGCGAAAACUUUGCAAUACACGAAAGUGUGACAAGGCUAUCCCGAGUGCCAUCCGCUGAGGAAGGCUUUUACCCAGUAUAAAUAGCUGGGAGAAUAAGGAGAGGGCAAGUCUGGUGUCAGCCGUCGCGGUAAUACCAGCUCUCCGAGUAGUGUGGAUGUUUAUUGGGCCUAAAGCAUCCGUAGCUUGCUAUGCAAGUCCCCUGUUAAAUCCACCGAUUUAAUCGUUGGACUGCGGGGGAUACUGUUUGGCUAGGGGACGGGAGAGGCCGACGGUAUUUCCGGGGUAGGGGUGAAAUCCUAUAAUCCCGGGAGGACCACCAGUGGCGAAGGCUGUCGGCUAGAACGCGCCCGACGGUGAGGGAUGAAAGCUGGGGGAGCGAACCGGAUUAGAU
Molecule: ribosomal RNA, 693 nt
Filed under: uncultured archaeon
Lineage: Archaea
Description: bacterial SSU rRNA
Rfam family: Archaeal small subunit ribosomal RNA
Source: RNAcentral